Amphimedon queenslandica is the source of this 884-nucleotide long non-coding RNA. RefSeq lists it as uncharacterized. The record is from RefSeq and is a predicted model, not a curated record. NCBI's taxonomy places the organism in Eukaryota, Metazoa, Porifera, Demospongiae, Haplosclerida, Niphatidae. The transcript is spliced from 2 exons.
UGUAAUUUUGAACAAGGCUUCUACUAAAUGGACAUAUACCAGUAACUCUAAAGCUAGACUGGAUGUUUUUCAUUGUAAAUGAUUUAGUCCAAGCCUUCGAAAAGAGCCCACAAAAAUCAUAAACAGAUAUGUUGGUCCUCCCUGGAUUAUCAACAAAGAACUGGUGACAUAAGUUGACAGAAAUCGACCUUGUAGUGGACCCAAUGACUUUUCUAUUACUACUGAGUAAUAAACUAAACAGUAAUGAUAGUAAGGAUGAAAUUUAAUGCUUUUUUAAAGACUAGAUAAUCCACAAAGACCAGGUUGUGCACAUCCAGCAAAUAAAAUCAUCAUCCUUUUUUAUUCCUCUACAAACUUUGAAGUGCUUGGGGGUACAUAGUCUUAUCUCUGGGUUUCUCCGUAAAACACAUGCCACCAUUCUUUUUUCAGGAAUAUUGUUGGAAACUGUCAGCCCUUUUGUCCGAGGCAGCGAGACUAUCUGAUACCCUAUUUUAAUUAUUUUGAUAAUCCACUAUACUAAUUCAUUCUUUUCUUGUAUAGGUGAUGGACCAGGCCUUCCUGAAACUUGCUUAAUUUUUGAAGCUGGAGUGGUCAUGCAUGCAUGUAUUGGUGGAGCUCUUUGGUAUUGAGUAUUUUCUCAAGCAGUAACAGAGAUUUUUCAUCACAAACUGUCUCUAUAACCUUUUCCAAGUCUUUAGUCUUCCAUUUCCCCCUUCUGUUUGCUGUUACUGUGUGAUUAUUAUCACUGUCUGGUAACUGCCUCCGUCACCAAGGUGUAUUUGCUCUUAAAUAACUCUUACUACGUUAUUUAUAUAUUGUUUUACAUAGUUCCAUCAAAUAGUGUAAUUAAUUUCCUUUGUAUUGAUAUAUAAUGUUGGCAUAUU